RNAcentral lists this long non-coding RNA (538 nucleotides) under Chloebia gouldiae (Gouldian finch). RNAcentral describes it as "Erythrura gouldiae (Gouldian finch) lncRNA (ENSEGOG00005017202.1)". Lineage: Eukaryota; Metazoa; Chordata; Aves; Passeriformes; Passeridae. The record is from RNAcentral.
AAACAAUCGUGUUGCAUUUUAAGAAGUGAUUUUUAUCAGAAAGCUGCUAUUUAUCAGUUUUAUUAAAGUGCCAUCUCCCAGACUCCGGGGUCAUGAGUUAAUCUCGGCUUUCAUUAACUAAAAACACACAUUUCUCACAGUGGGAGCUGAGAAGUUGGCUGAAGUGAGGAGAGCCUGGCAAUGAUUUCUGCUUCCCAGGAUCCUGUUUGGGGAGAAAGUGGCUCUGGAGGCUUUGCAGCUGAUGGAACAACAUUGGGCAAUCCGCUGGAGCUCCCAAAAAACCUUUUGGGUGCUGUGCCUGGUGGGAGUUCCUGCCUACCCUGCAGCACCCAAAGCGACAUCGCCCUGUCCCCUGGCUGGGGGCAGUGCCAGCCCUCGGUGACCGCAGAUUUAUUGGUGCUGCGAGGGAAACGAAACCAUGUGGAGCCUCUGCGCGGAGCCGGGCAAGGAGCUCGCGGAGCAGACGGAAAUUUCCUGAAAGGCAAAGGAGAAGCUGGAGUGUUCAUUUGUUAGACAUCAUGUAGAAGCCAAAAUCCAC